This 325-nucleotide ribosomal RNA is filed under the name uncultured soil bacterium. RNAcentral's name for it is "bacterial SSU rRNA". It matches the Rfam family "Bacterial small subunit ribosomal RNA", at positions 26 to 374 of the family's 1533-position model. The record is from RNAcentral.
AGAACGAACGCUGGCGGCAUGCCUAACACAUGCAAGUCGAACGAGACCUUCGGGUCUAGUGGCGCACGGGUGCGUAACGCGUGGGAAUCUGCCCUUGGGUUCGGAAUAACAGUUGGAAACGACUGCUAAUACCGGAUGAUGACGUAAGUCCAAAGAUUUAUCGCCCAGGGAUGAGCCCGCGUAGGAUUAGCUAGUUGGUGAGGUAAAGGCUCACCAAGGCGACAAUCCUUAGCUGGUCUGAGAGGAUGAUCAGCCACACGUGGGACUGAGACACGGCCCAGACUCCGUACGGGGAGGCAGCAGGUAGGGGAAUAGUUAGGACAAG